GGUGAACGCUGGCGGCGUGCUUAAGACAUGCAAGUCGAACGAUCGUCUUCGGACGGUAGUGGCGCACGGGUGAGUAACGCGUAACUGACCUGCCCCCAAGUUCCGAAUAACCCUCCGAAAGGAGUGCUAAUACGGGAUGUGCUGUCCCCUCCUGUGGGGCCAGUAAAGGCUUGACCGCUUGGGGAUGGGGUUGCGUUCCAUCAGCUACAUGGUGGGGUAACGGCCUACCAUGGCAACGACGGAUAACCGGACUGCGAGGGUGUCCGGUCACAGGAGCACCGAGACACGGGCUGCAACCCGACGGGGGGCCGCAGGUAGGAAUGCACCCGAAUGGAUGAAAGUCUGAGGGAGCGACGCAGCGUGCGGGAUGGAGGUAGUCGGAUAGGAAACCUCGGAAUCAGGGACGAAAGCCGCGGAAGCGGGAUGCCGGUACCUGAGUAAUAGCACCGGCUAACUCCGUG
This 461-nucleotide ribosomal RNA is filed under the name uncultured bacterium. RNAcentral describes it as "partial 16S ribosomal RNA". It matches the Rfam family "Bacterial small subunit ribosomal RNA", at positions 28 to 507 of the family's 1533-position model. The record is from RNAcentral.